UAGCUCUGGUUUCCCUUCAAAACGCAUAAAUCUUUCGCCUUUUACUAAAGAUUUCCGUGGAGGAGCAACUCAAUGAGUCUUAAGGCUAUUUUUUAAUGGCCCUUUAUGGGCCAA
Portunus trituberculatus (swimming crab) is the source of this 114-nucleotide small nuclear RNA. RefSeq annotates it as U5 spliceosomal RNA. NCBI's taxonomy places the organism in Eukaryota, Metazoa, Arthropoda, Malacostraca, Decapoda, Portunidae. The record is from RefSeq and is a predicted model, not a curated record. The transcript has a single exon.